Molecule: long non-coding RNA, 5811 nt
Organism: Ictalurus punctatus (channel catfish)
Lineage: Eukaryota; Metazoa; Chordata; Actinopteri; Siluriformes; Ictaluridae
Source: Ensembl
GUAGAGAGACCAUUACAGUUUCCAUUAAAACCAAUACAAUUCCCAUUAUAACCAUUACAAAUUAAAUGAGGAUUUAUAUUGGGUUUUUUCCCCAGCAGGGUGUACUGGUACACAGAUGUUUGAGGUGACAAUCGGGAUUUGUUUAGUAAUGUUUUUAAUGUUAUUGUUGGUAUUUUGCUGUGGUAUAAGAGGAAUAAAACCAGCAGGGAAUAUCAACUUUGAUAAAUAAUCAGCUUCAGGGAGCUAAUAGUAACUCUGCUUCAUCACACCGCCCCAGCAUGGGGUUUAAAUAAAAUGCUUUAUUCGGAAUAGAGCGGGACACCAGAACUCUGGAUUACAUUAUUUUCCACCUCGGUGGGUUCGAGCUACAACGUGGGGAAAAAACAUGGACAUGUUUGUCUUUCAUGAGCAACAAACUAUCAGAAAUGAAGCGGGAUUUUAUUGACCAUUGAUACCUUGAGUGGCCAUGUUGGUUUGAUGUCACUUACAGAACUCAGGGUUGUUGUUGUUGUUGUUAUUAUUAUUAUUAUUAUUCUGUUGCCCUGUCUGUAUGGAGUUUGCAUGUUCUCCCCGUGCUGCGGGGGUUUUCUCCGGGUACUCCGGUUUCCUCCCCCAGUCCAAACACAUGCAUGGUAGUCUGAUUGGUGUGUCUAAAGUGUGUAUGCUAUAAUAAAAAACAACUACAGUUCUGCCGCUGUGUUUCAAAAAUGAGGUAAAUCCGCGGAUCUGGCAACUCGCACAUCCCGUGACUCCCACAUGUUUAUUAAACCUGCUUAUUUUGUAAUAUUUAUUACACCGAAUCAUGAGCAGAAACCUUGUUUGUUUGUUUUUCCUCAUAGCACGAUCACGCAAAACCACGCGCGUUUGUUAUAUUCGUGUGUUUUUUUUCGGUUUCUCACGCGGACAGACCGAGUUGUUUACCUCUUCGCUCCGUGACGUCACGACACACCCCUUGUGCGCGUACGUGUGUAUGUGUGUGUAUAUGUGUGUGAGAGAGAGAGUGAGAGAGAGAGAGAGUGUGUGUCGUCCCAAACGUCGGAACAGUGCGCGUGUGGCGUGGCAAUGGGGUCUCGCGCAUAAACCCCUAAAAAAACAAACAAAAAAAAACAACCAUAACAGCCAGGAGCGCGCGCGGCGUGUCCGUGGGUUACUGCGCGAGGAGCCGAGGCGGGGCGUUAUUACAACCGACCCCCUUUCCCCCGUUUCUCUCUCUAUCUCUACUGGGGUCCAAGUUCAAAGUUUGUACGUGUUUUCUUUUUUUCUUCCUCCGCUCUACGUACCGGAAAGCAGGCGCGCGCUCUGUUUUAUUUGAUCGCACGCGGAUAAGAUCGGUCUGACGCGUCUCCGCGUUUCUUCUCCUCCACGCCUCGGUGUGUGCUCGCGCUGGCGGCAACUUCUCGCCAUAGGAAUGAGAUAAACGCACGCGCACAUCCAUACAUACACAUGAACACACGCGUUUGCGAAAAAAAAGAAAAGAGGAAAGUUCCGGGGAAGCGGAGUGGAGAGAGUAACGAGCAAGCGCGAGGAGGAGACAGAAGAAGAAAAACACACACACACACACACGGGAUAAAGAGAAAGUUGCACGGUCCGGAACUGAAGUGGAUUAAAGUGGAGCCACGAGACAUCAACAACAACGAGACCGCAAACAAAAGCGCUGCACAAGAUUGCUAACGAUAAAUAAACAACAACAACAACAAUAAUAACCCCGCUCGAGCGUGCGCGCGCGUCCCUACUGCGCUUUCCGUCUUCUUUUUAUUACCUGGCACGCGCUGAAUAGUAUCCUAACUUUACUAUCCUAAACACGAGGAACUUUUACAUUGUCUCACAGUACCGUGUGUGUGUGUUACAUUAAUGCACGUGCACGCGGGAAAGAAAGAGAGGAAACAAAACGCUUGACGGAAACGAGAGGAGGAAAAAAAACACGGUCACGGAACCUCGGUGAGGAAGAGGAGCACACACUGAUGUGAAGAAGGAAUGCAAAAGAACUCGGGUAAGAAAGCAAGCAGGCGCGUGCACGUGUGUGUGUGUCUGUCCUGUUAGCACUGCAGCUUGCUGCAGCCAUUUGCAGCUGCGACAUCAUAUAGGAUAUAUACAUAUGCGCGCGCGCACACACACACACACACACACACUCUUUCAACUUCCCUUCUGACAUAUUUAUAUUCAGUGUUUAAUCCUAAUAAAGUACAGCUCUCUCUUACUGAGAUGAAAAUGUGCUUUUGUAAUUCACUGAUUUUAAAUCACGACAAUUAUUCUGGGGAGAAAGAAAAGAUUCUUCCUAUUUCCAGUAAAGAGCAAUAAUCAUAUUCUAAUUCUAAUAAUCAUUAUAUUCUAAUGAUCAUAUUCUAUAAUCAUAUUCUAAUUCUAAUAAUCAUUAUAUUCCAGUAAUUCUACAGAUUCCCUGAGCUGCAGGUGAAUUAUAAUGAUCUAAAGCUUAAUCUAAGAUCUAGUUUAAUAUUCAGAUAUUUCCCUCAUUAGCUACAGAAAUCUGUUUAUUGACUAUUAGUUUCAGUGAUUUAUUUAUUUCUACAAACAGAGCAGAAAGUGUUUACGGUGUGAUUACAUCUGAAUCCGAAACGGUUUUUACGUGGAAACCUUUCCUUACAUUUCCACUCACACAGUACAGAUUCCUUUCUAAUAUGAAUAUUCAAAUAUUCAGAAAAUUAUGCAAAUAUGCAAGCACCAUCUUAGUGAUUGAUUGGUUGAUUGAUUAGGAGAGUGUUUUUAUUUCCACAAACACAAAUCAGGAACGUACACUGUGUGAAAUUGUGACGCGUAUAUGCAUGGUUGACCUUUUUUAUAUUUACGCUUUAUAUUUGAUCAAAAGCGCUUGUCGUUAUUUUUGAUCAGACCUGCAGGGUAAAUCACUCAGUAAUAACUGGAAUAAAUAAACUGUUAUGAGCGCACGAUCAGGAAGCUGAUAAACAUUUGAACAGUCGUUAAUGACGGCCGUUACAUUUAACUCAACUCUUGAUUGUUAUUGUGAUUUAUUAUUAAACUUAUAAACAUAGAAAUGAAUCACUAAAAUGUAAACAGUAGCACAAAUACUUAAUAAUAAACCGUUAAUAGCUGAACGGACCUAUAAUCAUCAUGUCAGGUAAAGACGUGCGGGUUACGUGUUACACCGCGGCGCUGCUGAGUUCUGGACUCUGAUUGGUCAGAAGCUGGUGAUUAAUUCUCUAUAACAGCAGCUCUGAUGGUAGUGCGGGUGUAUAUUAACGCACUCCUUAUCGUUUCCAUAGUAACGGCUCGUUCACAGGGACAUGUUCGCUCCACAUGAACAGAUUCUUAACGGUUGUGGAUAGGGUGAAGUUUUCUGUAAGGGGCAACGUGUUUAUGUGACGUUUACGGAAGGAGUCUCCAGUGUCGGCGCUGUAAGAGAAACAGACAGAGGAGUUUAAACGUAACUAUAAACUUACAAAAAGCACGAUGUGGGUUUUUUUAAUGAGAAUUGUAAUCGUUGACAGGUUGCUGUGGUGUAAGAGGAGUUAAACACUUCAGGGGGUACUGUUAUAGGAACUCGCGCGCGCGCGCACACACACACACGCGCACACACACUUUUAUUCCUCACCUCUAUUUGUGUCUCUGCAUGUAGUUAAAUGUGUAAUGAUUAAUAUACCUAGUGUGUGUUUAAUAUCUGACACCUGUGUUAGUGGAGGCUAAACAGCUUUUAUUGCUGGUUAAAUUAGACCAUGUAUACACACACACACUCUCUCUCUCACUCACACACACACACACACACACACACACACACACACACACACACACACUCUCUCUCUCUCACUCACACACACACACACACACAACUAUUGAGUCGCAUUAGCUCAGUGUUGAUCGUAGCGGAUGCUGCCGUGUUGAAACCUUAAAGCCGAAGUGAGUGUGUGAGUGUGUGUGAGUGAGUGAGUGUGUGUGUGUGUGUGAGUGUGAGUGUGUGAGUGAGUGUGUGAGUGAGUGAGUGAGUGAGUGUGUGUGUGUGUGUGUGAGUGUGAGUGUGUGAGUGAGUGUGUGAGUGAGUGAGUGUGUGUGUGAGUGUGAGUGUGUGAGUGAGUGUGUGUGUGAGUGUGUGUGUGUGUGUGAGUGUGUGUGUGAGUGAGUGUGUGUGUGAGUGUGUGUGUGAGUGUGUGUGUGAGUGUGUGUGUGAGUGUGAGUGUGUGUGUGAGUGAGUGUGUGUGAGUGAGUGUGUGUGAGUGUGUGUGUGUGAGUGAGUGAGUGUGUGUGAGAGAGAGUGUGUGAGUGAGUGUGUGUGUGUGUGUGUGUGUGUGUGAGUGUGUGUGUGUGUGUGUGUGAGUGUGUGAGUGAGUGUGUGUGAGUGAGUGAGUGUGUGUGUGUGUGUGUGUGUGAGUGUGUGUGUGAGUGUGUGGUGUGAGUGUGUGAGUGUGUGAGUGAGUGUGUGUGUGUGAGAGAGAGACGGGUUACCAUACAAUCACUCCUGUAUGCGUCUCUGUUGAGGACUGUGAUGUGAUUAUUGGUUGUGAAUGAGCACAAGAUUAACUUUGCUCUUUGUACAAUGUGUAAAUGUUUUGGCACCUGAACACUGGUACUCCCCCCAGCCCCCCUCCAGCCACCGAUCAAGUACCAAAAGUCCCAGAUGCAUCCACACCGGCAAUGUUUACCCUGGAACAGCGCGGCCGAACAUCGUUCGGUUUUCAGCGAGAGUGGCUGUUUAUAACGGCAGGAGGCGGAGCAAGUGUUCGUGAAGAAAAGUGGGCGGGGCAAGCGGUGGAGGGGCAGGGGGAUGGUAGUGGUGUUUAUUUGUUCCUGAAGCAGUUGGUGAGUCUCGCUGUGCUGCUGCGAGCUUAAAGUGUUUAAUCAACGUAAAUCUAUCCAGCAGCAAUGUUUUUCCCACAAAUAAACAGCACUGACCCUGAAAUGCAAACCAGCAUCCACCCUGUUUCUCCAGAGCUUUAACUUUGACGUCUGAUUUGUGACUUUUACAGCCUGAAUGUGCUAGUGCAUUAGAGCAUUAGUGAGCUACAGCGGAUAGUUCGGAAGGGGAAAAGCUGGCUGUCUUGUAGAAGAGCCGUGAGAUCUUCUCUCGCCCUGCGUCACCUGGAGACGUUUGAUCUCGUCUAGCGGGUAGGGCUGGGCGAUAUUAUAAAAAUACCAUAUCACCAUACUUGAAGACGUUUCUAUGAUACGCGAUGCGCAUCACAUUAAAUAACUUGGCUAACAAACCGUCCACAAAACUGGCUUUGACGAUACUUUUCUUUAACGACAAUUUAAGUUACUGUUUCACGAGUAAUUAUUAAAAACGUGUAACAUUUACAUGACCCUACCGACUAUGUCUCAGAAAAGUGUCAUCGUUUAUCACGAUAUCGGUGUUAUAUCGAUAUAUCGGCCAGCCCUACUGGCUAUUGCUGAGAUUUACGUUUAAGAUGCUCUGUCCUGUGCCUGUAGGAAGAUGCUGGAGAUAUUUGUUUUCACUUUGCUUUGAUAGUUAAUCUGGGAACACGUCCAGAUCGCCAUCAUGUCCUCGUCAUCUGUUUAUUAGUGCUGCAUUACACGACGCAGCUAGGGUUACAUUACACGCUAUCACCUGCUAUCGAUUUCGGAGUUGGAGCAUUUUUCUACACUCGGUACUGUUACCCUAGUGAUGAGGAUGAGGAGGAGGAUGAUGAGGAGGAGGAGGAGGAGGAGGAUGAUGAUGAUGAGGAGGAUGAUGAUGAGGAGGAGGAGGAGGAUGAUGAUGAGGAGGAGGAUGAUGAUGAGGAGGAUGAUGAUGAUGAUGAUGAUGAUGAGGAGGAGGAGGAGGAGGAUGAUGAUGAGGAGGAUGAUGAUGAGGAGGAGGAGGAGGAUGAUGAUGAGGAGGAGGAG